AUAUACUCGUGAAUUGAUUAAAAUAUGCUGUAGUGCGCAUUUCAAAAUUGUCAACACAACUGAAAAUUUUCCUAGAUAUUUUCUCAAGCUAGAUGUGGUUUAUUAUCUGAUCAAAUCUACUUUUGAAAAGAACAAAUGCGAGAAUACAUGAACUGAUGAACCGCUUCCAGCUUUCCCACAGUCAUCAAAAGCAGAUGUCCGGCCAAAAGAGUGAAGUGUUGAUCCGAGUUGAUGUCGAUAAUGAUUUCAAACUUUAAAACAUUCACAGUAUAUUAUGUUUUGUGAACUGACCGUUUAAUCAUGCACGUUAUCCUUUUUCCUUUAAAUGAUUUCAGAGAGAAAGUAAGAAUGUAUAGCAUUUCUGCUUACAGCUGUUUCGUUUGGUGACCGAGAAGAGCGGGAUAAUCGAUCGAUAUCGAGUCUGUAUUGAUUUGCAAAGUAUAUACAGAAUGUUUAUACCAUAAAGAAACCGCAGACCUUUGAACGUCAGUCACUUAUGAAAGUUGUAUAGUUUAGCACGAACUUCAUUCAAAAGAGCUCUACUCCUCAAGUUUUCUACAAUUUUGCAAAACAAACCAUGAUUUGGUUGGCUCUGUGUACACUAGUCUAUAUUGUAGCUGGACAAGAUCUAGUUCCCGAAAUUUUGAAUGAUCCCGAAGACUUCGUUGGCUUCUCAGAUGACUUUAAAAACUUAAUAGUAAAAACAAACACUGUCCUGGAUGCAAAGUACUACUGGCUAAAAGAUGACAACAGAAUAACAAAGGAUAGUGAACCACCAUUUCUUUCAUUUGACUCAAGAAUAUUGACAGCAGAUAGUCAGAGCAAGAAAAAUGCUGGUAUUUACCAGUUUGUUAUGACAACCGAUGCUGGAACAAUCAAAGGAAGGAAAAUUAAAGUUGAGUUUACUUAUCUUGGGAAAUUUGACCCAAACCUUCCUACCACCCGGACAGUGAAUGUCAUCGUCGGUCAG
Dendronephthya gigantea is the source of this 970-nucleotide long non-coding RNA. RefSeq lists it as uncharacterized. NCBI's taxonomy places the organism in Eukaryota, Metazoa, Cnidaria, Anthozoa, Malacalcyonacea, Nephtheidae. The record is from RefSeq and is a predicted model, not a curated record. The transcript is spliced from 6 exons.